Molecule: ribosomal RNA, 496 nt
Filed under: uncultured bacterium
Lineage: Bacteria
Description: partial 16S ribosomal RNA
Rfam family: Bacterial small subunit ribosomal RNA
Source: RNAcentral
GAUGAACGCUGGCGGCGCGCCUAAUACAUGCAAGUCGAGCGAACAGACGAGGAGCUUGCUCCUCUGACGUUAGCGGCGGACGGGUGAGUCACACGUGGAUCACCUACCUAUAAGACUGGGAUAACUUCGGGAAACCGGAGCUAAUACCGGAUAAUAUAUUGAACCGCAUGGUUCAAUGGUGAAAGACGGUUUUGCUGUCUCUUAUAGAUGGAUCCGGGCCGCGUUAGCUGGUUGGUAGGGUAACGGCUUACCAAGGCAACCGUGCCUUACCGACCUUUGGGGGGGUAGGCCACAUCUGAACGUGAACACCGACCCGGGCCCUGAGGUACGGCCCAGGCUGGUACGGUACGCAACAGUGGGAAAGCUUGCCGAACCACCGCCGGGUUGGUGAGGAAGGGCUCGGAUCGUAAAACUCUGUUAUUAGGUAAGAACAAAUGUGUAAGUAACUAUGCACGUCUUGACGGUACCUAAUCAGAAAGCCCCGGCUAACUACGUG